Molecule: long non-coding RNA, 6090 nt
Organism: Zonotrichia albicollis (white-throated sparrow)
Lineage: Eukaryota; Metazoa; Chordata; Aves; Passeriformes; Passerellidae
Source: RefSeq, a predicted model, not a curated record
UGCAGCAGAUUGCUCAGUCAGGUCAGUCUGUGCAUCUGCUUUUACCUCCAAACCAUUCUCACCCAGGCCCUUGGAAAGCUUUUCUGUUCAGGAUGGAGGCCAAAGAAGGGAAAGUCAGCACAAGGGAUGCAGAAGUGACAGCAACAGGAAAUCAAAUGUCCCUGAGCCCCUCUUGGAGGUGCAGACCCAGAGCUGCAGGAGGAAGGACCACCCAGCCACAGCCUCCCACCUCUCCUGGAAUAAACCCCUCACAGGCAGCAAGUGCAGAAGAAGAGAUUUCAAGACUGGGGAUCAGGGACUGAACUUUCAUUUGAGCUGCCACCAAGCUGCUCUCUGCAUGAGGCCUCUAGGGCACAGAUGAGAUCUCACUCUCUUGGCAAGGAAGGACUUUAAUUGUUCUUUCUCCUCUCUGAGGGUCUGUGCUCAUGCCUAACAGCCUCAGGCCUGUUGUUUCCCAGCCCCCCAACUCCCUCCUGCCCAGAGGCUUUCCCUGUGUGCAGUCUCUACCACACCACACUCAGGUUUCAGGAAAUACCUCAGUACACUCCUGAAACAGAUACCAGAGCCAGAUGGAAAUUCAAUAGCCCACUUCCAAGAAAAAAAAUCUUCCAAAGCUGCAAAAUGCUCAGAACAAGUUUCCCAGCUCCAAUCACAAGUGGCUGCUGCCAGAGCCACCUGAGCAGAAAGCAAGUGUGUCAGGAAAUGAAAACACCAAGAGUACAGGCAGUUCCACCUGCAAAUUCCCUCUGCCACCAGACAGACACUGCUGACCCAGCCCAGAUUUCAGAAACAACUGAUCUACACCUACUCUGACCAGGUAUCAGACCUCUCCUCUUCCAUGGCCUCAUGCCCGGGUUCAGCAGGUUUGGAAAAUUCCUGCCUUUGUGUUCCUGUAAGGCUGAGCAGCUCUGACAUUCACCCCAGAGAGCUGUUCCAGCUUUCAGGAAGCUGAGCAGGCCACACAUUUCAGGGAAAUCUCUGUGCAGGCAGCCAAGCCAGCACUUUGCAGAGCCAACACUGCCCAGGGCAGAGCUGUUCCCCUCUCACAACCAGCCUGGGAGCCAGGCAUGGGUUAGGGCUCAGCAGGAACCAGGCAGAUUUUCCUGCAGCUGAGCUCAGGGCUGGAAAAGGUUUUGUUUCCUCACCUGAACACACAGGGAUGGGAUUAAGAGAUCUUGGAGAUAAUGGAAGUGAUACCAGUCAGCAUUUUUGGUGUAUCAAUGUGCCUGGGAGGGGUUCAACCUCUCUGAAAGGCACAAGCAUUCCUCACAGCAGUCAGCACACCUUCUGUAGAGUGCUCAGGUUUGGGCAGGAUGUCAGCAGGCAUCAGCUCUCCAAAGCACAAAAACCCCAGCACACAGGUUAGAAAGUGUACAGGAGACAUGUCAUAUAAUAAACAAACUUUCCCUCAGCUCAAAUGUACAAUAAUUCAGGGCUUCAGAUUUUCAGCCUGCUUCUAGACUACAACAGAGGAGAGACAUCUCCCAAAACUACAGAUUUUGAGAACUUCCUCUGAUUUUUUUUUACAAAUCAGUAAAAUCUUAAUUUACUGUUAAGGCAAGAUGUUUUUUACUUAGUCAGCUGCAGGGCUAAAACCAGCACAGUCCUCAGCCUGUGUCAGUGCUUACAGUGAAAAUCAGCAUCAGCCCUAGAGUUAAACAAGACCUGGCUUGGAGGGAUUUGCACAGCACAAACUUCAUCUUACAAAGGUCCUGCAGUUGUGCUCUGGGACAAAGCCCAUUUUAAAGCACAAGGGAACGUGCCCCAGUGAGAUCCUCCCUGUGCAGCCCCACAGUCAGUGCAGUGCUGGGAAAGGCUGGGCACAAUUUGCUCCUCACCCAGCCUGGUGCCAGCUGACCAGGACUGGAACAGCAGCCUCAUUUAAAUCAGCCCACACUGGAGCCAGCCUUGGCCUCCUGAGACCAGUUUGUCUGAAGCAUGAUUUCAGAUACUGGACCUGAAUUGGGAAUAGCUUUCUUUGCAUCAGGUUUGAUCAGAUUACUCCCUCCUUGGGGGUGAGAAGCAGUGAAGGUGAGCUGAGACAGCAGCCCCAGGACUGCACUGUUUGCCAGCCAGCAGCCCCUGCUGUUUGUGCAGCCAGGGACAGAGGGAGGGAUGAUACAGCAGUCCUGGAGCAGAGAACACUGGGGUUUAAAGCACACUGAAGAAUGAGAAGCAGAUAAGAGGACAACUGCCAAGUAAGAUUAAAUUUUUUCUUUGGCAGGACUCCAGCAGCUGGAGAUGCAGCUCCUGAAGGUACAGGAACAGUUAAAGUAAGUGAUCUGGCAGACUAAGAAAGGAUCAACAGACAGAGAGAGAAAGGCUGUGUCCAAAUUAACUCCUGCUGGGGAAGGCUCAGCUCCAGCUGGUGUGGGAAGCAAGGGGGCAACCACUGAAAGGCACUGGAGAGCCUCAGCAGAAUGACUCCAAUCCCCUCCUUUCCACACAGGUAAAGAGGAAAACCCAUGCAGGGAUUUUCAGUGCCUGUAUCUAGGUGACCUGCUUAUCCUGCAGCUGGGCAAACAUUAGGAGGCAGACAGCAUCACUGUGACUGCGACUCUUAUCACAGCCAGCUUUGCUACAGGCAUCUCCCCUGAGCUGAAGACUGCUUCAACAGAGCCUGCAACACUCCUUGAUUAUUCUUUCCAGCCAUCACUGUGCCUUUUAGUGUCACCAUUUGUCUAGGAGCAAGCAGGCAGACUUUCUCAGCACAGUGCCACAGCUGUCUCCUGCUUCCCACCCCUUUCCCAGCCCACUCCCAGGGCAGCUCCUGCCAUCCAUCAAGCUAAAAACAGAGCUCAAGUUGCACUGAACGUCACUGCAGCUGCGAGAUCCUUCCAAGAGGGAACAGCUCCUCAGAGCCUGGCACUGUGCACGUACAGCUCACCCCACUGCUCACCCAGGGACAGCACAGCCUCCUCCUGCAAACAGCCUCAGCUUCACCCUGGGGAGUCUCACCAUCCACCUCUAAAACUAGGAACAAAGGAACAGGAAGCCUCUUUUAGAUGGCUGUUGGAUACCUCACUCCCUAAGUGCAGCCCUAUGGCACAGCCUGGGGGUAUGGACAGGGAGGACUUUUGGUCAGAGGGUAAAUAACAUGAUGCAUGAAAACAACCAAGAAUGAAGAGAAGAAGGGAAAGCAUGUUGGAAGAACACUUUUCUGUUAGCACAAGGAAAGAGCCUGCCAAGAUGACCCAGUUCCACUCUUUUCCCUCCUCCAAAGGCCACGUAAAAGUCUGGUGCUCCCAAACAUCUCUUGAGGUCAGACUAAUUAUGGUCACCAUAAUUAUUGACCAAAUGAUGGGAGAGCAGUAGGAAUCUGCUUCUACCUGUUGGCACCUUGUUACCGGCAAAACUGAGGAGAGCACGCAUAAAACCAUCUGCAUUUUUACACAGCAGGUGUUCACAGCUACUAAUCCACCUGAAAGAAAUACCAGUCCCUACGGACAGCUGCCUGCAAGUCAGAUCCUUCAAAUGCAAUCUCCAGUGCAGGCAAAUCCAUUAAAUAAAGAACUGUGCAUAGGGGUGAGAGGGUAAUCUAACCAGGGCGCUGAAACAGGGUGAAAUGUCUUCUCUUGCAUAGGGAACAGCGCAAGAAACAGCCCUAGGAAAACAAAUGGAGGAUUAGUAAAUUAAACAAACAAACCAAAGAAAAUUAGCAGUCUGGAAAACAGAAGAAAACCCCCUACAACGACCCAAAAGCAAUUGGCAGAUUUGUGGAAUUGAAAGGUGAGAAGCUGCUUGUUUUCAGGACAGCAGAACAAGCACUGCACCUCGUGCUGCUGUGGUCAGGAGGAAUCACGUUCUGGCUGUGGCAGGUAUUGACUCAGCUGGUCUUUGCAGAGAUGCAGGUGGAGGGCAGGGUGAGAGGCCAGACCCUGAGAAGGACAACUGGGGCACCCUGAUGUAACCCACCCCUUCCAAUGCCUGCAGCACUAGGAAGCAGUUUUCCAAUACAGAGCUCUAAUGGAAAGUACAUUUAACAUCAACAAUCCAGCUCCUGGCAACCAGCCUAGCAUUUAAAUUACAUUUCAUAUGAACAGUAUCCAAAUGAAAAAGAGAACAAGUGGCUUUUAAAUGGCACUGGCUCAGUGUUUCCCUCUUACCAGCUUAUUUGUCAGCUCCAUUUACUGAUUGUAUGAAAGGUAUGUUAAGGAUAAAUUGAAAGAGAUUCCAUUCUUGCUCAGUUUGCUUCCAGGAAAAGCUUCCUCCCUGGUUUGCCCUCCCACUCCACCAGGUAGCUCCAUCAGCCCAGACUAAUAGAUGAGGGGGAACAAGAGCUGCCCCCACCUUCUCUGACAAAAGCUGUUUGAAACUGCUUUCAUUUCCAAAAGGCAGGUCUAGGCAAAAGCAAAAAGCCCAGCUUUGUUCUGUAAAAGGAAAAGCUAAACCCACUCCUCUGUUCAAGCCCAUUUCCUUAAGAGGUGUCCUGGACUCCAGGACACUCACAGUCCUUGGGAAGAGAAGCAUUUCCUCAUGUUUAGCUGAGUGCCUCUAAGGCAUCUCCUGCACAAAACAACUGCUGCUGCUCCUGUGGCUGAGCCACCAGAUCAGGCAGCCCUGUGCAGUGAGCAGUGGCUUGGAUGAACAAGCAUCAACCUUCCUGAGCCAGGUGUUCCCUCCUCCUGGUGUCCUCCAAGCCCUCCAGAGAUCUGAAGGCUGCCCAUGUGUGAAAAUGGAAAGUGCAGAUGAUGUUUGAGGCUGAGGCUGGUGUCUCUACAAACCAUCCCAGCUCCCCAGUCCCACUGUCUGCUCUGCCUUCUUGGCAAAACCAUAAUGGAUGUGCACCAUUCCAGGUGAUUUUGGUUUCAGAAACCAGGAUUUGAUCAGUGCUAAAGGGCUGUCAUGCUGACAGUUCUUGCCUCAGAGGCAAAAACUGAGGAGCUUCACAGUCACAGAUCUCCACAGAGCUCUCACCAAUGCACCCUCACACCCACACAGGACUGCACACCAGGAUUUUCCUUCUUCAGACAAACUUCAAUGGCUCAUCAAUUGUUACCAACACACAAACCUCUUCAGAAAUGCUACCUAUCACUUGCUGCCUGCCCACUGUCUACCUACAUGUUCUGCAUGGCAGAAGGAAAGUAUGAAGCUGCCAUAAUUCCUACAAUAAAGCAUUAGUGGAAAAAACCCAAACCCAAUGCCCUGCUACUGUUACUACAUGAACCGCAACUUUAUGGGGCGGAAAUUGUACAAAUUUUUCAGACAUCUGAUGAAAGGCUUUAGAAAACCUUUAGAUGAAAUAUAAUUUAACACCAGGAACUAACAAUUACAAAGAUGGAAAGCAUCAUUUCACAGCCCCUCAGGUGGUGUCAGCCAUGGUUGCUGUUGCUCACACAGGUGAGACUCUGCCCAGGUACAGCAGUGCCUGGGGCAAAACACACCAAAAAGCAAAGUCCUUUACUGAAAUAAUUUCAGAGAGAAGCACCAAGAUCUUGAUCUCAAGGUUUUGCACCAAGAUCUUGAUUUCAGGUUUUGAAUGCUUUGGCAUGCACUGCUCUUGUUCAAGUCUUUGUAUAAUGUGUUGCCUUAGAUAAUUCUGGAAAUACAUGACUAUAAUUUGCUGUUAAAUGGUGUACUGACUGUUUUAAGGUGCAACAAAUACCAAAACAACAAAAAACUCAAUGAAAACAUCUGAUUGUCAGGUAAAACUAGACCUGCAAAUAACAAUUAAAGCAAGCAGCUUUGUUGGUCUAAGUGAGAACAUGAAGCAGUUUGACUGGCAAGAAAAUUAGUAAGCACAGAUAAUACAUUUGUAUGUUAUUCAGAGAAUACAUUUGUAUGUUAUUCAGAAUUGUAUGUUAUUCAGAGAAUGCAUUUGUAUGUUAUUCAGUUCUGGCAGCAUUCCAGCCAUGGAACAGCAGCAGUCUUUCAGGAAAACUCCCCCAGCUCUGUAACACUGGUGGAUUAAGUGGAAGACACCACCCAGAGCAGGAUGAUUUUCCAGCACCUCAAGCAGAAGCACACACAGCUAUGUUGCUGUGUGCAGACAGAAAUACAGACAUUUUCUACAGCUGAGUUCUCAUUACUCAGAAGGAGAUUUCCAUGCUAGGCUGGAAAAUGGAAUGAAACUGAGAUUUCUCCACCCCC